CCUACGGGAGACAGCAGUGAGGAAUAUUGGUCAAUGGGCGGAAGCCUGAACCAGCCAAGUCGCGUGAGGGAAUAAGGCCCUACGGGUCGUAAACCUCUUUUGCCGGGGAGCAAGGGCGGGGACGUGUCCCGGCCCGGAGAGUACCCGGGGAAAAGGCAUGGGCUAACUCCGUGCCAGCAGCCGCGGUAUUACGGAGGAUGCGAGCGUUAUCGGGAUUUAUUGGGUUUAAAGGGUGCGUAGGCGGGCGUUUAAGUCAGCGGUAAAAAUUCGGGGCUCAACCCCGUCCGGCCGUUGAAACUGGGGGCCUUGAGUGGGCGAGAAGAAGGCGGAAUGCGUGGUGUAGCGGUGAAAUGCAUAGAUAUCACGCAGAACCCCGAUUGCGAAGGCAGCUUUCCGGCGCCCUACUGACGCUGAGGCACGAAAGUGCGGGUAUCGAACAGGAUUAGAUACCCUUGUAGUC
Molecule: ribosomal RNA, 460 nt
Filed under: uncultured bacterium
Lineage: Bacteria
Description: partial 16S ribosomal RNA
Rfam family: Bacterial small subunit ribosomal RNA
Source: RNAcentral